UACGGGGGGGGCAAGCGUUGUUCGGAAUUACUGGGCGUAAAGGGCUCGUAGGCGGCCAACUAAGUCAGACGUGAAAUCCCUCGGCUUAACCGGGGAACUGCGUCUGAUACUGGAUGGCUUGAGUUUGGGAGAGGGAUGCGGAAUUCCAGGUGUAGCGGUGAAAUGCGUAGAUAUCUGGAGGAACACCGGUGGCGAAGGCGGCAUCCUGGACCAAUAUUGACGCUGAGGAGCGAAGGCUAGGGGAGCAAACGGG
This 253-nucleotide ribosomal RNA is filed under the name uncultured bacterium. RNAcentral's name for it is "partial 16S ribosomal RNA". It matches the Rfam family "Bacterial small subunit ribosomal RNA", at positions 524 to 776 of the family's 1533-position model. The record is from RNAcentral.